This is a long non-coding RNA of Sinocyclocheilus anshuiensis, 84 nucleotides long. RefSeq lists it as uncharacterized. Lineage: Eukaryota; Metazoa; Chordata; Actinopteri; Cypriniformes; Cyprinidae. The record is from RefSeq and is a predicted model, not a curated record. The transcript is spliced from 3 exons.
GGGAGAUGGCGACCUCUGGUGGUGAGAGGGAGAACACCAGACGCCAGACCCUGACAGUAUAGCUCUUCAGGACAAAUGAAAAAA